CCCUACUCUUUUUCCUUACAAUUCAAUUCUGUAUUUCCAUUAUCACACAAACCAUUCUCUAUUCCUUGCUCUUUUGCAUUUUCUUCAGGUGAUGAGCCCUUUUCUCUUGCUUCUUCUUCAGCUUUCAAUCUGGCGUCCUCUUUUGCCUUCUCAAGCCCUGCUAUUAGUCCCUCCAAGCAAACCUUGCUGUCUCCAGGUAGAGUCUUUGGCAUUAAAUGCUCCGCAACUUCAGCGGGAGUCAUUUUGGUCUCUCCCAGCAACUCUUGGAUCUUGGAAUACAAGUGGUGUGUUUCAAGCCGAAGGUAAUUCUUAGCCAAAACCUUGAAUGCUUCAAAGCUACAAUAGGACAAUUCUAUGUGCUUGUCCAUCCUUCCUUUCCUGAUGAGAGCUGGAUCGAGUUUCUCAAAGAAAUUAGUUGUGAAAACAACCAGUCUUUCUCCUUUACAAGCUGACCAGAGUCCAUCAAUAAAAUUCAAAAGCCCAGAGAGAGUCACCUGACUCUGUUUGCCACCUGUUUCUUCCUUUGGCAGCUUCAGCUUUGGAUCCUUCUCAUCUCCCCUUCCCUGUUCUUCCUUUUUCUUCUUCCUUUGACCGGUUAGAUCAAGAGAACAGUCAAUAUCCUCGAUCACAAUAAUGGAUCUGCUCGAUGUCUCGAUCAGUAGCUUUCUCAGCUCAGUGUUAUCUUUCACGGAAGUCAAUUCGAGAUCAUAGAUAUCGUAGUUCAAAAGAUUAGCCAUGGCUGCGAUCAUAGUGGAUUUACCAGUCCCUGGGGGGCCAUAAAGAAGAUAACCCCGCUUCCAAGCCCUUCCAAUUCUUGCAUAGAACUCUUCUGCCUGGCUGAAUGUGAUGAGAUCAUCCAUGAUUUCCUUCUUCUUAUCAGCCUCCAUUGCAAUCGACUCAAAACUAGCCGGAUGCUCAAACACUACAUGCCUCCAGCAUGAUCCACUAUUAGUGUAAAGCUUCCUUUGCCGGUUUUUCACCUUGAUUGCAUCACCCUCUUUCAAGACAUGACUCAAGUAAGUCCCGAGUAUGAGAUUCCGGUGUCUUUUAUGGAAAGUGAGCGUGUAGUACAUUCUCUCAUCCGUUACUGGAUAGAAAGAAAAUGGUUGUGUCUUGGAAAUAUGUUUCCCAGAAGCCCACCGUAGUUUGACUCCUUGGAACUCGUCAGUAACCUCUUCAAAGUCAUCCAUGCUAAGAACAAGGGACUGGGUGCUGUUCUUGACGACAUCAGCCUUGAGCCGCUUAGCCUGCAUAGAUGAACUAGAACCAAGGUAGUUCUCGAUAGCAGAGUAAGCUUCACUCCGCAUGAAACGAUCUCCAGUGAAUUCAUUGAACGUAAUUUGAAUGAAAGGGUAAACAAAAGUGAAGACGCUUUUGGAGUGUUUCUCGAAAUAGUUUUGCAACUGAUAUGGACAAUAUUGCUUGAACAUAGCCCAAAAAAACAUGACACUCGCAAUUACAGAUCCUAACUGAGUAAACAUAUCUACUGUCUUCAUUCUUUCUUUCCUUUUUUUUUUAUCUGUUCCCCUCCUUCCCUUAUCUUGAAUGAAUGUUUUGCGGCAACAAUUUUAUAGCCCAGGGAGCAAGGACAGAGAUGAUCUUUAUUUUUAUAUUAAAAUAUUAAUAUAAUAGUCUAUAUCUUGCCAAAAAAACAAAAACUGGCGUGGCCAGAUAAAUACCAUAACUUGCUCAACAUUUCUAUUUUCUUGAUAUUUUUUUGUCAAUUGUUUUGUGUUUUUUUGUUCAGGUAGGUUGGUCCCUUUUUUUUUUUUCUUGAUUUAUUUAUGUCGACAGGAUAUAUGUCACAUCUACUUUUGAAAUUAUAGAAUUACUAUAGUUCUUGAAUUUUCAGUGUAAGUAUUUUUUCUUUAAUUUUCUAAAUAACAAAUCUAAUUGAAUUUAUUUUACUUUUUCUUCUUCUAUCUAAAUUUUAAUAGAUAGCUAACAAAAAUCAAAUUUGUAGGGCUUAUGUUUUUUAGCAAGAGUCUACUAAACAAAAGCUAUAUGAAUAACUUGUUUUAUACAAAAAAUUUACAUAUAAAAAAUUUAAAAAAUCUAAUAAAUAUAUCUCACCACAUUAGGUGAAAAUAACUUUAUGCUUGGCACAUGUUUGAUAUAUAAUUUUGAUUUAAAAUUUACUUUAUAUAUAUAUAUAUAUAUAUAUAUAUAUAUAUAUAUAUAUAUAUAUAUAAUUGGGAUUGUUUGAUAGUCAAAUCAAAUCUAUGUAAUGUUCUAAUAAUUAUUGUGUAACUUAAUUGAUUUUUGUUUAAUAGUAAAUUAUUUUGUAGUUGUAUUAAUUGUUUAAUAAUAUCGUUGACAUGCAAUUUAAUGAGUUAGGUUCAUAGUUUUAAAAUAUGGCCCGGCCCGGCGGGUCGACCUGGGACCCGAUUGACCCGGGGCUGGAACCGAGCCGGGUUGAUGAAAAAACCGGUAAGGAAAUUGGCCUGGAAAAACCCGGUCGACCCGGCGGGUCAAUCCGGGUAAACCCGGCUGAGACCCAGCUAGUUUAUAUAUAUAAAAUGUUACCGUUUUAGUUUUUUACUAUCAAGUAUCAACUCAUUUGUAAUAUAAAGACAGAAUCACAAAAAACCUAAUCACUUCUCUCAUCUUUCUGUUCUUUCUUUCGUUCGAGUUGCUAAAAGGGGUUGUUUGUUCCGCUAUCCUCAUUGGUCUGAGAUCUGCCGGGAAAAGAAAAUCUCUUUCUUUUCUUAUUUAGAUUCUUAGUUUUUCUUAGAUGAGAGAAAGAGUAGAAACAAAGGGUACACUCUCUAGAAAAUGGGGGCUGCUAAAUUAGAAAGAAGGUCUAGAUGAGAAUGAUAAUGGUCAAACAAAAUGGAUGUGUUAUGUUAGAUUCUGUCAGUGGAUGUUUCCAAGUUUUUCUUUCCUUUGCACUUGGCUUUUGAGGGGAGAUUUCCAGUCUCAAAAGGGAUAAGAAAAUAGAGAAUAAGUCAGGAUCUCGAUCGAUGAAAUGGAAAACAAGUUGAUUCAACUUUGAGAGUUGGGAAAAGAGAGAUUUCAGAUCUGCUUGAGGUAGGGUAUGAUCUGCUAUUUGAAAAAUUUAUCCACCAAUUGUGAUUGUUUGAAUCAAAGUUUGAUUGUGUUUUUGGGUUAAUCUUGAGUUUAUGGAGACUAAGGUUGCUGCUUUGAGAGGAAAUAAUAGUUGUGUUUGAAAAAAUCUUUUUUUUGGUUGACCCGGCUCAACCCAUCUGACUCAUGACCCGAUCAUUAGACCGGGUCGGGUUUAAAAAUUAUGAUUAGGAUGAUCAUUUCACUAAGGCGAGUACGAAGUUAUUUAUGUUUAAACUUAAGUAACUCUUUCUCUGCUUUCAACAAAGACAAGCUUAUUCACCUUGCUCAUUUUUAUCCCGAUGAGUUCUUUAUAAUGGACCUUAUGGUACUUGGUUACCAAUUUGAUAUGUAUAUUAUUGAUCUACACAAUGAUGAUGAUUUCUUUGGUAUUAAAGGUAUUGCUAGUCUUGCGGAGAAAAUAGUAAAAAUAAAGAAUGACAGUUUAGAGAGAGUUUUUCAAAUUAGUAUAUAUGCUUGGUAUAUAUACUUUUCAAAUUGUCAUUACUUCUACUAGUUGCAACUACUAAAGUGAAAAGAGUUUUUUUUUUUUUAUAUGCGUAUUAUUAAAAGUAAAUUGCAGAAUAAGAUGAGAAAUAAAUGGAUAGAUGAUAGUUUGAUUAUAUAUGCUGAGAAAAAUAUCUUUGAUGUGAUUGAUAAUGAAGUCAUUAUAAAGAGAAUUUAAAAUAUGAAAACUCGAAGAGAACAAUUAUAAUGUAAGUUUUUUUAUUUUAAAAAUAUUUUAAAAUUAAUUUAGCUUGAUAUGAGUUAAUACAUAUAUUUCAAAUUAAUUUCUCAUGUAAUACAUGUCUAUAUAAUAUCAAAUAUUUAUUAAUAAUUUAUCUUCUCGUUUAAAAAAUAGAAUCUGCCACUGGUUAUAUCUGAUUAAGAAGCUGGAGUUAUAAAGUUAAUGAAUCAACUUUCAGUUAAUGGAUUAAUCCAUAGAUCACAUUAAUUUAUCAUAAAUAUAUUAUUUAUGUACUUGCAUCAUAAUAUAGGACAUUGCAAAUUGGCACCUGUUUUAUCUAAUCGAGUUUAAUUAUUAAGAAGAAAUCUAAAACAUCUCUAAGACUGUUAAUCCCCUCAUAAAUACUGCAAAUUCCAUGGCAUUGCUGUCAUUGAACUAAUACAAGUGUGAUAAUUCUGUCUCAAGAGACCAAACUUCUUCAAUCUGAAAUGCUGCAGUGUUGAUCUUUAGUGGCUGAAGCCCUACUCUUUUUCCUUACAAUUCGUUUCUGUAUUUCCAUUAUCACAGAAACCAUUCUCUUUUCCUUGCUCUUUUGCAUUUUCUUCAGGUGAUGAAUCCUUUUCUUUUGCUUUUUCUUCAGGUGAUGAAUCCUUUUCUCUUGCUUCUUCUUCAGCUUUCAAUCUGGCGUCCUCUUUUGCCUUCUCAAGCCCUGCUAUUAGUCCCUCCAAGCAAACCUUGUUGUCUCCAGGAAGAGUCUUUGGCAUUAAAUGCUCCGCCACUUCAGCGGGAGUCAUUUUGGUUUCUCCCAGCAACUCUUGGAUCUUGGAAUACAAGUGGUGUGUUUCAAGCCGAAGGUAAUUCUUAGCCAAAACCUUGAAUGCUUCAAAGCUACAAUAUGACAAUUCUAUGUGCUUGUCCAUCCUUCCUUUCCUGAUAAGAGCUGGAUCAAGUUUCUCCAAGAAAUUAGUUGUGAAAACAACCAGUCUUUCUCCUUUACAAGCUGACCAGAGUCCAUCAAUAAAAUUCAAAAGCCCAGAAAGAGUGACCUGACUCUGUUUGCUGUCUGUUUCUUCCUUUGGCAGCUUCAGCUUUGGAUCCUUCUCAUCUCCCCUUCCCUGUUCUUCCUUUUUCUUCUUCCUUUGACCGGUUAGAUCAAGAGAACAGUCAAUAUCCUCGAUCACA
RNAcentral lists this long non-coding RNA (4936 nucleotides) under Populus trichocarpa (black cottonwood). RNAcentral describes it as "long non-coding RNA (PTRI_LNC003036)". Lineage: Eukaryota; Viridiplantae; Streptophyta; Magnoliopsida; Malpighiales; Salicaceae. The record is from RNAcentral.